RNAcentral lists this ribosomal RNA (473 nucleotides) under uncultured bacterium. RNAcentral describes it as "bacterial SSU rRNA". It matches the Rfam family "Bacterial small subunit ribosomal RNA", at positions 33 to 507 of the family's 1533-position model. The record is from RNAcentral.
ACGCUGGCGGCGUGCUUAAUACAUGCAAGUCAACUUGACUUUAGAUAGCAAUAUCGAAAAGUAGGGUGGCGCACGGGUGCGUAACGCGUAGGUAUCUGCCCUGAGGUCUGACAUAACCCGUCGAAAGGCGGGCUAACAUCAGAUGAUAUAUAAUCACGACAUCGUGGAAAUAUCAAAUCUUCGGAGCCUUGGGAUGAGCCUGCGUCUGAUUAGGUAGUUGGCGGAGUAAUAGCCCACCAAGCCUACGAUCAGUAGCUGGUCUGAGAGGAUGAUCAGCCACACUGGAACUGAGACACGGUCCAGACUCCUACGGGAGGCAGCAGUAAGGAAUAUUGCUCAAUGGGGGAAACCCUGAAGCAGCAACGCCGCGUGAAGGAUGAAAUACUUUGUAUGUAAACUUCUGUAAGAUGGGAAAAAUAUUCUCCUCGGGAGAAUUGAUUGUACCAUCAGAGUAAGCCCCGGCUAACUACGUG